Molecule: microRNA precursor, 101 nt
Filed under: Marmota monax (woodchuck)
Lineage: Eukaryota; Metazoa; Chordata; Mammalia; Rodentia; Sciuridae
Source: RNAcentral
AAUAAAUACUGGGUCAAAUGGUAAGUAUAUGUUUAACUUGUUAAAGAAACUGCCAAACGUUUUUCUAGAGUGACUAUAUCAUUUGCAAUCUCACCAGCAAG